GAAGUUUUCCCAUGUAAACUCUACUUUCGAACGAGUCAUAGUGCGUUCGAAAGGGAAGCAGCCACUAGAGGCGUUGCGAUCGAUGUUCGCAGGCUGACGAGGGACGUCAGAGGCCGGGGGAAUAUCUGUCUGUCUUUAUUCCACUCGCAGUCUUCACAAAACAAUAUGAUAAAUUAAUAACGCUUUAAAUAAUUUAAGACUAUAAA
Ooceraea biroi (clonal raider ant) is the source of this 206-nucleotide long non-coding RNA. RefSeq lists it as uncharacterized. NCBI's taxonomy places the organism in Eukaryota, Metazoa, Arthropoda, Insecta, Hymenoptera, Formicidae. The record is from RefSeq and is a predicted model, not a curated record.